UAGGAGCCAAUUAGUAUCCCAAAAUGUUUUUUUUUCCUUCUUACUCCAUUAACAUGACAAUUCAGAAAGACGCUAAAUUAUUUAUUUCUUCAUUUUGUCCCAUUCGCUUUCUUAUCAUUUGUGUGCUAUGCAUGAUUUCGUAAUUAGGUGAACUCUCAGAAGAUAAUAUUGUACAAAGCCUUGAUAUUCUCAAGAAUUUAUAUUACUAGAAGGUGAUAAAUGGAAGAUACUUUCAAGCCAUGAAUUCAUAGAGGCGCAGGUCAGAUAACGAAGGUAUGCACAUUUGUACAUGUACUUGGGAUAGUACCUGAAUCGGAUUUAACUAUUCACAGAAAAAUCUAACAUGUUGAACUAACAGUUUAUCUACCUAAGGUGAAUCUGAGUUUGUUUUUCCAGAAUUCAUAGGUACAUUACAUUCUCACACUGCAUCUUCUUGUCUAGAAGGUUAGGAUGGCCGGACAAUAUUUGUGGAUACAAUUUCAGGCAGGCAAUAUGCAAAGAAAUGUAAAUUACACCGUCUUAUACGUAUGGAUGUGUUAUUCAAAGGUCUCUAGGUUGAGAAAAAUUACCACCUGAAGCCAUAGGAUCCUGAUUCUUAGAAAAAUCUCAAGAAUUAUUAAGUGAUGCUCCACAAAUCUGAAAGAAAACAGUUGAAAAGAGGUAACUAGUUCUAAUGCAACCAAACCUCUGAAAUGUAUCUACCCAAGUUUUCUUCAAGAGGCGAAAGAUUCUACUUCAAAAACUUUCCGUUCUCGACAAAUCAGAAGCAAUCACACGAAUAACCUUUUUUUCAAAAACAAAGACAAAAAUUGCCCAUGCGCACUCAAGUGAACCAUCAGCCAACCACCUUAGAAUGAUCAAUUUUAGAUGGUCAUUUACUUCGUAUCAUUCUUUUGUUGUUAUGCCCAUGAACGCAAAACUACUUCUUAGUUUUUGUUAACCAAAGUUGGUGAAGAGUAUCAUUACCUUGUCUCAUAAUGUAAAUCAGAAACCGAAAAACCCAAGUCAAGAAAAAAGUUUGCGUCUAGAUCAGUGAGUGAGUGUGCAGACGGGCUCGCAUCAGCUGAGCAAGAAAAAACCCGCAUAACAAGUUACUAUUUAAAGAUACUACUAGUUUUUUUUCCAAAGACUCUGUGCUCAGUUGUGUGGUUCUGCAUAGAACUGGAACAUAUACAGUAUCCCGACCUCAAGAUUGCUUGGAACCUUCUUGAUUGCUUAAGCCAGAGUCGAUGAAAAUUUCCAUGAGACACUUCCUUCAAAUUGCUGUUUUUGAGCUCAGCAAUAAUAGUUGUAUAUCCAGCGAUAAUCUAAACAAAUUUGUGCUUCUAGUAAAACUAUAACACUCAAAGGUCUCGCAGACAACGUAGCAAAGAAGCAGUGUUUCAUGGAUCACAAAAAGGAAGAGGAGUGAUGAGAGCACACAAUCUAAGCAAACUCUACUUUGACAAUUCCUCUGAGACAUCAGAGCAUACAAUGUCAUGACAACUAGCGUUUCAUAAAUUGUGUUAAAAAUAGUAUGAGCUUAGCUAAGGUAUCAUUCAGAUCACUCCGCGUUUACUCUGCCAAUAGCUUUCUGGAAAUGAAUAAAGUGUUCUGAAAAUGCA
RNAcentral lists this long non-coding RNA (1604 nucleotides) under Hermetia illucens (black soldier fly). Its description in RNAcentral is "uncharacterized LOC119647409". Lineage: Eukaryota; Metazoa; Arthropoda; Insecta; Diptera; Stratiomyidae. The record is from RNAcentral.